This 3266-nucleotide unclassified non-coding RNA is filed under the name Leishmania donovani. RNAcentral describes it as "gene:LdHU3.26.3420(CDS-product:hypothetical_prote in_conserved)". The record is from RNAcentral. Lineage: Eukaryota; Euglenozoa; Kinetoplastea; Trypanosomatida; Trypanosomatidae.
CUGCAGCCGUCCCGAGCUGUGCAUUUCGUGAGGUGAACUACGUCUUUUCGCACGUACUCCCCCUUAACCAUUUGGCAUCACGGGUUGUUGUGGCUGCCGUUUGCUCGCGUUGCCGUGUUGCUUCUCCACCACCGAAAUUUUCUCGUGCGCCGUACGCCAACCAUCGCUCUCUGCACCUACGCGCCCACGCACCCCCGUGCCCCCCGCGAGGCCCUCCGAAAAGCGCGCAGACGCCACCCCAUCGCUUCACAGCGCCUGCGGGCUGCGAAGAGGAACCAGGAGUGUAACCUUACUCGCAGUGUGGCGCCUGUGCAGAACCGCGCGUGCGGAGUUGCGAAAUGAGCGGCUCGGACGAUGAUGUAGUCAUUAUUGACUCAUCCUCGCCGUCCACCUCCGCCUCGCCCGGGAGUCUUGGCAUCCGUGGGGGCCUGCCGGGGCUAAACGAGAGCAAUGACGACUCCCAUGUCGCGGUGGCGCAUAAUACAUCGAGGGCAGCGGCUCUUCCGUCAUCUUCCGCUGGUGUCACUGAGGUCGGUGUGCCGCGACAGGCCACCACCGUGGUCGAUGCGGUGUGUCAUGACUUGGGGGCGAGGAUCAACGCUCUUCCUCCGCUGCGUGCACAGGCAGACACCCAGACAGACCCAGGCGGCGGCGCCGGAGCCGCUGCUUUCGAUGGUGCCGCCUCAUUGCACCGUCGCCUUCUCGACAUGGAGGCAGCGCUCGGCAUCCGUGCACCUGCACCGGCUAGUGCGCCUGUGUCUAGAGCGCGGAGCGCAAUGAGGGAGAUCGUCAACUCCUGGCGUGAGGCAGCCGGCAUGUGGAAGCGCCUUCGGGCGGACGACAAGACGGGAGACGAUGCAGAGAUGGACGCCAUCAAACGCGUGAAGCGAGAAGGCGGUGGCGAGGCGGAGGUAUGGCAGCGUCUUCGCGAUCCCCCACCGGCUCGUCCAAGUGACAUCCCGGCGUGGGCGGUUGGACUCGAAGCCGUUUUAGAGCGCUGUCGAGGGCUUCUGGAGUCGCCCAACUUUGCUGUUGCCGCGCGGCAACAGGAGCGAAGUCGAUCCCUCCGUGCUGCUCUCACUGUGCCCUCUGCAACGGAGGCUUUGUCGGCGUCUGCACCGGCGCAGCCGGCUGCCAGCGCUGCGGUCGCGGCGACUCCAGUGGCGACUCUUGACUCCAAUGCAGCUCUACUGCGCGAGGCGGAGCUCAUUUGUUCUCGCGAGCGCACAGAGACCCUGCUCCCCCUGUACGCUGAGCUGCACGCUCUGCGCCGCAUGCGGGCCGAGCGAGAGCAGCAGGCUGCACGCAAGGUAGAGGAGCAGCUAGAGUGGGAGCAGCUGCGUCUGGCGGACAUGCUCGCCGAGUGCGACUCCCAGCUGGAGAUGCUGGACAGCAACUUCUUGGACUCGUGUAAGGCUCGACUGGCUCCGCUGGAGAUGCUGCAACAGCGCAUCGAUGCGCUGCACAGAUUUCGCCGCCAGCUUGAGACCCACGCCGCAGUGAUGUUGCCGUUGCCUUUGAAGGGCGUAGCAGCGGCGUUGACGAAUGCGAUGACUGCCCCGGAGUUGGCCACUCACGCACCACGGCCGAUGGGUCUCGCUGGCGAUGCCCUGUCGCAGCGCAUGAGCGAGGAGUGCGUUACGUGGAGGAAGCGGGUGGAGGGGCUGCAGGCACGACUUGAUGCGCAAAGGAAACGCAACGCUGACCUGCAGGCGUGCUAUAUGCAAGCCAACCUGCAGCUGCAAACCUCCCUGGAUAGGGACAACUACGUCAGCAAAGAGGUCGUGCAUGCUUUGAAGGUGCAGCACCGGGCGGACAUGGAGGCGCUUGUGGAGAAGCUGGGGUGGACUCUCAUCAACAAUACUUUCGACGUGCUCAGUCUGCGGCACCCAGUCUCAGGAGCUACGCUACACGUCAACCACGCGUACUCGACGAUAAACGGACAGGCAUGUGAAGACGUUGUCAAGGCGCUGGCAGCUUAUAUUCUGAAGCACAGCGACGAUACCGCCUCCACGGUGGCACCUGCGGCAGCGCUUUCAGUCAAUGUGUCCGAAGCUGUGAAAGGAGGCACCAUCAGUGAAGGGCAUGCCAGCAGCACUUCCGUGCAUCCCACAGCUCUCCCUGCUCAAGCCUCCUAUCUACAGAGUGGUGCUGCGUCGAUAGACGGAGCGAUGCGUCAGGAGGCGAGCCAGGCUGUGGUGGAGUCAGUGCCGGCUGUGACCGAAGAUGCGGUUGAUCAAGCUGAAUCUGCUUCGCCAAGCCCUUCUGCGCGCAAUGAACGAGUUUCUGCGCUGCCAUCCCCGGGAUCGUCUGCGCCGUCUGAGGCUGAAGUGACCGCAGCGGAAGAACCUCCGAUGCGUGUAGGCUCCGCCUCUAUGGACGAGGAGGUCGCAGAGGUUUCGCCGCACUCGCCGAUAUCUUCCGGGGCUGCAGCGGAGUCGACGGGGGAGGGCACCUACGGGGCAAACGGUGCGCAAGAGGCGCGUGGCGGUGCUGCUGCCUCGUCUGAUGGCGCUGGUGAGAGAGACAAUGACGAAGAUGACGUCGCGGCUUUCGUGGAGGAGGGCGACAGUGCGGACGGCGAUGAGGAGGACGGUGAUGGAGGCGUGAGUGACGCCGAGGAGGAGGAUCUUGCGGGCUACAGCAACCUGCACACAGAGGAGGGUAGUGGCAACACCUCCACUCUGAACGUGUCCGGCAACCUUCCCUCCUCUGGGUCAAAGGGCAGCGAUGCACGAGUGACACCAGUGCAGCCUGCCCUGUACGAGUCGUUCUUCUCAUCCAAUCAAUUGUGGGAGAGUGAAGAUGAGUAAGCGCCACCUUUGGCUGUGACUGUGUACGUGUUUUUGUGCGUGGCUGCCGCUGGGUAGCGUCUUGGAAACCGUAAGGACAGCCGCGACAGAGGUUCGUCAAGACAAACUUAGUGAGCUCGCGCUCUUUCUCUCUGUCUCCUGAGGCCGUGUUGAGACGCAAGCCACAGCAAGUUUCAUGUGUGAGGCGCAUAGAUACAGAGGGCACGCACAGCGGUGUUGCUGUGGCGCCCGGCUAGAUAUGCAGAAGGCGCGAACCUGCCUCUGACUCAUAGUGACACAGCUGAGCCUGACAGGCAGGGCCAAACCUUGCCCACUCCCAAUCGACCUCCACAAUGGCAGGUCCUUUCGUACAUGCUGCACGGUGAGGGGUGUUCAUCAUCGAUCCUGGUUCCGUGUGCUGAUGUCCCGCGGUUGUGCCUGCUGUGUCACCUCUACGCCUAGGGCUUGCGCUUC